Molecule: ribosomal RNA, 382 nt
Filed under: uncultured eukaryote
Lineage: Eukaryota
Description: partial 18S ribosomal RNA
Rfam family: Eukaryotic small subunit ribosomal RNA
Source: RNAcentral
CAAUAGCGUAUAUUAAAGUUGUUGCAGUUAAAAAGCUCGUAGUUGGAUUUCUGGUUGAAGCGACCGGUCGGGCGUUGAUUCGUCUGCACUGGAGUCGGUUUUGGCCAUCCUCUAGGAAAGUGCGUCUGGUAUUAAGUUAUCGGGCGUAUGAUCCUGGUCUUUUACUGUGAAAAAAUUAGAGUGUUUAAAGCAGGCCUUCGCCUUGAAUACAUUGGCAUGGAAUAAUAAGAUAGGACUUUGGUCUAUUUUGUUGGUUUGCAGACCGAAGUAAUGAUUAAUAGGGAUAGUUGGGGGUAUUUAUAUUCCGAUGUCAGAGGUGAAAUUCUUAGAUUUUCGGAAGAUAAACUUAUGCGAAAGCAUUUACCAAGGAUGUUUUCAUUAA